This 253-nucleotide ribosomal RNA is filed under the name uncultured bacterium. RNAcentral describes it as "partial 16S ribosomal RNA". It matches the Rfam family "Bacterial small subunit ribosomal RNA", at positions 524 to 776 of the family's 1533-position model. The record is from RNAcentral.
UACGUAGGGGCCGAGCGUUGUCCGGAGUUACUGGGCGUAAAGCGCGCGCAGGCGGCCAUCUAAGCCCGGCGUGAAAGCCCCCGGCUCAACCGGGGAGGGUCGUCGGGGACUGGGUGGCUUGAGGACGGCAGGGGCUGGUGGAAUCCCCGGUGUAGUGGUGAAAUGCGUAGAGAUCGGGGGGAACACCCGUGGCGAAGGCGGCCAGCUGGGCCGUUCCUGACGCUGAGACGCGAAAGCUAGGGGAGCGAACAGG